UGCCCCGGGUCAGCCGGCUGC
This 21-nucleotide unclassified non-coding RNA is filed under the name Mus musculus (house mouse). RNAcentral describes it as "oocyte_clustered_small_RNA10925". The record is from RNAcentral. Lineage: Eukaryota; Metazoa; Chordata; Mammalia; Rodentia; Muridae.